CGGGGGGAGCAAGCGUUGUUCGGAUUUACUGGGCGUAAAGGGCGCGUAGGCGGUCGUGACAAGUCACUUGUGAAAUCUCCGGGCUUAACUCGGAACGGUCAAGUGAUACUGUCGGACUAGAGUACAGAAGGGGCAACUGGAAUUCUCGGUGUAGCGGUGAAGUGCGUAGAUAUCGAGAGGAACACCUGCGGCGAAGGCGGGUUGCUGGGCUGAUACUGACGCUGAGGCGCGAAAGCCAGGGGAGCGGACGGGAUUAGAUACCCCGGUAGUCCUGGCCUUAAACGAUGAAUGCUUGGUGUCUCGGGUUAUAAAGUCCCGGGGUGCCGUCGCUAACGCUUUUAGCAUUCCGCCUGGGGAGUACGGUCGCAAGACUG
Molecule: ribosomal RNA, 374 nt
Filed under: uncultured organism
Description: bacterial SSU rRNA
Rfam family: Bacterial small subunit ribosomal RNA
Source: RNAcentral